AAUAGAUACCCGGGUAGUCCUAGCCGUAAACGAUGAACACUAGGCGUAGUCGGUAUCGACCCCGGCUGUGCCGUAGCUAACGCAUUAAGUGUUCCGCCCGGGGAGUACGGCCGCAAGGCUAAAACUCAAAGGAAUUGACGGGAGCCCGCACAAGCAGCGGAGCGUGUGGUUUAAUUCGUCGCAACGCGAAGAACCUUACCAGGGCUUGACAUGUGGCGGAAAACGGCGGAAACGUCGUCCUCCCGCAAGGGACCGUCAUGCAGGUGUUGCAUGGCUGUCGUCAGCUCGUGUCGUGAGAUGUUGGGUUAAGUCCCGCAACGAGCGCAACCCCCGUGGCAUGUUGUAUCUCUCAUGCCAGACUGCCGAGAGAAACUCGGAGGAAGGUGGGGAUGACGCCAAGUCAGCAUGGCCCUUACGUCCUGGGCUACACACACGCUACAAUGGCCGGUACAACGGGUUGCCAAACCGCGAGGUGGAGCUAAUCCCUUAAAGCCGGUCUCAGUUCGGAUUGCAGGCUGCAACUCGCCUGCA
Molecule: ribosomal RNA, 531 nt
Filed under: uncultured bacterium
Lineage: Bacteria
Description: bacterial SSU rRNA
Rfam family: Bacterial small subunit ribosomal RNA
Source: RNAcentral